CCCUUAGAUGUCCUGGGCCGCACGCGCGUUACACUGAUGCAUUCAACGAGCUUAUAACCUUGGCCGAGAGGCCUGGGCAAUCUUGUUAACGUGCAUCGUGAUAGGGAUAGAUUAUUGAAAUUUUUAAUCUUGAACGAGGAAUUCCUAGUAAACGCAGAUCAUCAAUCUGCAUUGAUUACGUCCCUGCCCUUUGUACACACCGCCCGUCGCACCUACCGAUUGGAUGGUCCGGUGAAGCCUCGGGAUUGUGGUUCUUGCCGCUUUAUUGUGGCGUGACCGCGAGAACUUGUCUAAACCUUAUCAUCUAGAGGAAGGUGAAGUCGUAACA
Molecule: ribosomal RNA, 328 nt
Filed under: uncultured eukaryote
Lineage: Eukaryota
Description: partial 18S ribosomal RNA
Rfam family: Eukaryotic small subunit ribosomal RNA
Source: RNAcentral